UCACAAAUAUCAAUAUUAUUAUUAUUAUUACUCGUUCUUCCCCUUAGACUCUGAGCACAGUAUGGGAUGGGGACGAUGUCUGACCUGACUGGACUGUUUUUACCCCCGUGUUUAGUACAGUGCCUGACACGUAGUGAGCAUUUAGAGACCACAAUUCUUCUUUUUCUACCUUGAAUGCUGAACAGCCCAACCAGAAAACAUCUGUUGCUCUUAAACUUAUUCCCCUGCUCUCCCCCAACUAUACAAUUUAGCAGAUACUAAAAACUGCAGAUUUAAUGACUCUUAAUAAACUCAUAUCUGGACCAGGGAUUAAAUUAUCGAACGGAUUGGAAUUUGUGUGAUUUUUAGCCGGUCUGAAGGUAACCUAGGACCUCUGGAGCCACAAUCAUUUUAUUUUAAGCGGUUUGGAUUACCCCCGGAUCUCAGAAACGGAAGCAUAAAGGAGACGUGUUAGAGUGCGGAGUUAGUGGCAGACAGCAGAAGAUGCUCCCGAUUAAAUGGGAAGACGUAUCGACGUGAGCAUCUUCUCCCAGCGCUACCAAACGUCUGAAGCGGUCCCCGCCGCUAGCUGACGAUUUCACCCUGGGCCAUCGGCCGCUGAGUGAUUCCUCCUUACGACGUCUGGUCCCUCCGUGGCAGAGUCAACCCGGCAUCGAAUUGAAAAAACCUGUAGAAUCGAAAGAAAAAAACCCUCCAGCCGAAUUUUCUCCACUAAAAUGAAACGGAUUCGACGCCAGCCGCCGCAGCACCUCACACUCUCCCCCAGAUCCGACCCAGCAGCUUUCUCCGGCUACAGUGAAUGUUGCCCGAAGAAGGAUUUUAAUUCGGUCAUUAUCGUCGUCUGCAUCGGGUUACAAGAAGCCAUCAGCAGAUUUGUGCUGAUGCAGAGAGAAGAGAAUUGCUAAAAAGAUAAUGGCAACUCCGUUCCCGUGAUAAUAUCUUAUCUUCAUUUGGAAGCCAUCUUGGUGCUAAAGUAUCCCCAAAGAUGAAGUGAGGUCUUCUUUCCGAACGUGACUGCGGGAAAAACGCCAUUGCUUCGGGACGAGGUUUCCCCAAGUAAAUCGAAUAUACUCUUCCGAUGAGAUCUAAUGAAUAAAACGAGGAAGAGCGGGAGGGGA
Molecule: long non-coding RNA, 1118 nt
Organism: Ornithorhynchus anatinus (platypus)
Lineage: Eukaryota; Metazoa; Chordata; Mammalia; Monotremata; Ornithorhynchidae
Exons: 4
Source: RefSeq, a predicted model, not a curated record